This 527-nucleotide long non-coding RNA is filed under the name Olea europaea subsp. europaea. The record is from RNAcentral. Lineage: Eukaryota; Viridiplantae; Streptophyta; Magnoliopsida; Lamiales; Oleaceae.
CGACAUGUGCAAAUUAUGAUGAAAAAUUAGAAACUUCAAUGAAAGAAUACAUGGCCUGGUUAUCUGGCCAGUGGUUAAUUCUCGAAUUAGAGAUUGGAUGAGCUAAGAGUAAUAGGAAAAGUUAUAAUAUUUAAAGGAUUAUCUGAGUCGUGCCUAGAUGUAAAUAGGUUGGGUAUCUUGACAGUUUGCUUUCGCAGCUGCAUUUUUUUCUAGAUUACUUCGGAAAUGUAGUACAAUAAGUGUGACAAAUUAAGAAACUACCCUAGAUUUUGCUUGGAUGCUAUAGCUUAGCUUUAUUGCUCCUCAGUUUUUUAAGAUUGUAUAAUAUGGCAUAAUCACCACUGCCCACCACAGCCACCUCCAUUGCCCGCAUUGUAUAAGAUACCAUUACUAAAGGAGGUGGCACAGAAGCAAGAAUAAUGCAAUUGUGGAGGUGGUGGUUAGCCGUGGUAGUAGGUGCAGUACAGCAUGUUUGGAAAAUUUAGGUUUUCAAAGUUACUUCUGCUGAAAUGUACUUUCUUUUUCUU